This is a long non-coding RNA of Ictalurus furcatus (blue catfish), 1334 nucleotides long. RefSeq lists it as uncharacterized. The record is from RefSeq and is a predicted model, not a curated record. The transcript is spliced from 3 exons. NCBI's taxonomy places the organism in Eukaryota, Metazoa, Chordata, Actinopteri, Siluriformes, Ictaluridae.
CCUGGAAGAAAAAUAAUAAUGAAGUAAUAAAAUGCUAACUGUGUUUUCUUCAACAACACUGAGUUACAGACUUUUAUUGAAUUAUGAUAAAUGUUUAUAGGUGAUCAUGUUACUAUUGCAUCAGAAACAUCUAAACCAGCUCUGUGUGAUAAUUCAGUGGUGUGUGAACCAACACUGCAUGGAAACAACACUAACAUGAACACACACGAGAAAACAGGUAAGAUGUUAUACAAGUCACCAUGAAUGAAUUAUCGUAAAUCCAUAAUGCAUAAUUCACCUGAAAAUAAUUUGCACUAAUGUAAAUGUAACGUGGUGAAAUAACAGUAUCAGAAAUGAUCAGAUCUCUACGUUCGACAGUGCUCGGUUUGGGAACGGCUUUGGGCUUGUGCGCACUUCUGAUUUUCUGUCUCAUUUAUUUCAUACUGAGGAGAAGAAAAAAUGAAAUCUGUAGAUUGAAUGCUUCUAUAGAGAACUGUCCAGAAAUGACACAGGAAUCUGAAACCGAAACACUAAAUUAUGCAGCUUUGCAAUUCUCCAAGAGGAAAGCAAAAGUUGAAAAAAAGAAAACUGGCUCAUCAGAUGCAUGUGUGUACUCGGUUGUGAAGAAAACUGUAAUGUAAUGGUAAUGAUAAUGAGUCGUUAUUGGUCACAGCACUGAAAUUUCUUUCUUCGCAUAGUCCAGCAUGACAGGAAGUUGGGCUCAGGGCAUUUAUGUAACAUAAAUUAUUCAUAAUACAUGGUACUAUUACACUACAAAAACAGGAAAAAUGUUUUAUCAAGUGGAAAUAUUUUGAUUAUAGUUUUAAUUUUCCAUACUUAUCAUUAUGAGAUUAUAAUAACUAAAAUAUUAUUAAAGCAAAACAUUUGCUAUUUUUUUUUUUUUUUUUUUAAAUUUUUGCUAAUUUAUUUUGUGGCCUUAUUUGUAUGACUCACUCUUGCUGAAGACGUGUAAAUGCAUUUUCAUUAAAAAUGUAUUUAAAAAAAUGUUUCUUAAAUAUUCUGAAAAUUCUGACACUAAAAUAAUGCAUUAUUAAUGUGUUUUUCACAAAGGUUGUGGGUUGGGCUUAAACACAAGUCAAGGACUGUGACUUCAAAGACAUUUUACAUUACUCAAAGUGAAUCAUCAAACAGACUUUAUCAAGCAUGUUUUUAGUUGCUUUCUCACUACGAGUGAGAAUAUACUGUAUUAUAUCAUGCAUUUAUUUUACCAUUAGGUUGUCAUAAACAAAUUUGACCAAGUGUAGGCUUUCAAAGAAAGUUUAUGCACGAAACAUAAUAAGUUUAGUGUGUGCAAAGCUAUUCCAUGCAACUUCAAUAACGUUGAUGCAACCUCA